Molecule: long non-coding RNA, 1543 nt
Organism: Brassica napus (rape)
Lineage: Eukaryota; Viridiplantae; Streptophyta; Magnoliopsida; Brassicales; Brassicaceae
Exons: 4
Source: RefSeq, a predicted model, not a curated record
CAUAACAUUUCAUCCACGUUCUAGGUUAACUGACCAUGAUCUUAAACAAUUUUCUUUCUUAUAUUAGUUUUUCAUCUACAAAUUUACUCUCUUUUUUUUUCCUUUAGUUUUUCAGUUUUUCUCUAUCUUCUCCAUUAUCAAAUGAGCAAGACAACGGAUCCUUUCAUAUCUCCUAAAUUUCAGUUUGAUCUCGACCAGUGCCUUCAUAUCUACUUUCUUUUUUCUGCACCAAAUCUAAUAUUUUAUCCCUCCUAAGUUCAUCGCCAACAAGUUCUUAGAAUGAUAUGGAUUGUGGCGGUCGAAUUUAAAAUCAAGUCGAGAAGAGAUUGAUACUAGUACGGUGAUUUUGAAGAGAUUCAGAGAGCUUUAAAAAUUUGUUGCAGGAUUGAUAGCAUACCUCUUGUGGAAUAUAGUGGCAGUAACGUUGCUUGGAUCAAACGAAGAGGUUACUGUUUUUACCCGAAUGAUCAGACUCAAUUUUUUAUUUCCACUGAUCAUGUUCACUCAUCUGAUUUUGAUGCAAUCAGGUCCCACUAUAUGCUUGAAAUUGUUUUAUGGGUUAAUCAUAGGAAUACGAAGGGACAACAAGGUUGGACAAAUAGAUUUAAGAAAUCAGACCAUGCAUACUAAUGUAAAUAUUUACCACUUUUCUUUCAGUUGUUUUAUUGUUAUUGAGUUUUUUUGUUUAUCAUAGAUUUAUACAAGGCAAAAGAAAGACAGUUCAUGUUGCAAUCAAAGAACGUGAAGAUGACAUAUUAGUGUUGUUGUUGGGACGAUAUUGAGUCUGUUGCAGUGGUGAAAAAAGAGGUUGAAUAAAGAGAGGAAGUGCAGACAAUAUUACAUGUGGGAGAAGCAAAAUAAAGAGAGGAAGUGCAGACAAAAUUACAUGUGUAGUUGUUUGUUUUCUGGAGAUCAAGACUGCUAACAUCAAAGCUUCCGACAUAUCCUCAACACAUGCUAGCUCAUCUCAAGAAGCAAAUCAAUGGCAAAGAGCAGUUAGCAAUGACUCAGACCACAAGAUCUCAGCCAAAGAAACCAAUCAAGAUCAUACCGCAGUACACAGCGACUUGCGGUCCAAGAAAGCCUGAACCAAAAGCCGACCGCAGCUAGAAGCAGCCAAGACUUAGGCAGGCUCAACUCAAAAGCUAACUGCCGUUCACAGCGGCUCAGAGACCAUACCUCUAUGAUUGACAUGUAAUAAAGUUACAUGUUGCAUUUGGUCUUUAUCUCUACAUACAUGUAAGAUUUGCAAUUCUACAAUGCUCAAAAUAUAAAACAAUACAUAAGCAAAAACUUGUUCAAAAUCACAUGAUAUAUACAACACAAGUUACAUAUAAACACAUCCACUCUCUUCUCCUCCUCUCUCCCUCCCAUAACAAGUACUAAGAACUCAACAAUAAGAACAAACAACUCUUAAGAAAAAAGUUUGUUAAAACCUUAUUACUAAAACAACACCAAACACCAUUUUAGAUUCUCUCUCUCGCAAUCUCUAAAAUGUAGGUACAAGUCCAAACCCGCUAAACAUACCGCCAUGACCAACAAC